RNAcentral lists this ribosomal RNA (506 nucleotides) under uncultured bacterium. RNAcentral describes it as "partial 16S ribosomal RNA". It matches the Rfam family "Bacterial small subunit ribosomal RNA", at positions 28 to 523 of the family's 1533-position model. The record is from RNAcentral.
GAUGAACGCUAGCUACAGGCUUAACACAUGCAAGUCGAGGGGUAACGAGAGGAAAGCUUGCUUUCCUUGUCGACGACCGGCGCACGGGUGAGUAACGCGUAUCCAACCUGCCCCCAACUAGGGAAUAACCUUGCGAAAGUAAGACUAAUACCCUAUAAUUUCCUCAGCUGUCAUCUUACGAGGAAUAAAGAUUUAUCGGUUGUGGAUGGGGAUGCGUCUGAUUAUCUGGUUGGCGGGGUAACGGCCCACCAAGGCAAAGAUCAGUAGGGGUUCUGAGAGGAAGGUCCCCCACAUUGGAACUGCGACACGGUCCAAACUCCUACGGGAGGCAGCAGUGAGGAAUAUUGGUCAAUGGGCGGAAGCCUGAACCAGCCAAGUAGCGUGCAGGAUGACGGCCCUAUGGGUUGUAAACUGCUUUUAUACAGGAAUGAGGUUAGCCACGUGUGGUUAUUUGUAGGUACUGUAUGAAUAAGGACCGGCUAAUUCCGUGCCAGCAGCAGCCGCCG